This 255-nucleotide ribosomal RNA is filed under the name uncultured prokaryote. RNAcentral's name for it is "partial 16S ribosomal RNA". It matches the Rfam family "Bacterial small subunit ribosomal RNA", at positions 523 to 777 of the family's 1533-position model. The record is from RNAcentral.
AUACGAAGGGGGCUAGCGUUGCUCGGAAUUACUGGGCGUAAAGCGCACGUAGGCGGCUCUUUAAGUCGGGGGUGAAAUCCUGGAGCUCAACUCCAGAACUGCCUUCGAUACUGUAGAGCUUGAGUUCGGGAGAGGUGAGUGGAACUGCGAGUGUAGAGGUGAAAUUCGUAGAUAUUCGCAAGAACACCAGUGGCGAAGGCGGCUCACUGGCCCGAUACUGACGCUGAGGUGCGAAAGCGUGGGGAGCAAACAGGA